This is a long non-coding RNA of Saccostrea cuccullata (small rock oyster), 2130 nucleotides long. RefSeq lists it as uncharacterized. NCBI's taxonomy places the organism in Eukaryota, Metazoa, Mollusca, Bivalvia, Ostreida, Ostreidae. The record is from RefSeq and is a predicted model, not a curated record. The transcript is spliced from 4 exons.
UGUAGAAUUCCAAAACGUCGAUCUUUACUUAAAAAAAAAAAAUCAAUCAGAUUUUUAAUAUUAUUGUAUCUUGUUAUACUGUAUACUUAUUAAUUUGCAAUUUAAUUAGAUCUAUAUUUAACAAUACAAAAACUCGCAUUUAUAAAUAAAUACGACUCAUCACUGUAUGAGUUGAUACGAAUAUUGAAAUAAACAGGUGUUUCCGCUUUGGUGUAAACAUGAUGGUGAUCCGAAAUCUGAACGUCAAUUUUCAUGAUUAUUUCACGACGAAGAUCAUCACAUCAAUGAAUCAAAUAAUACGGACAUGCCUUUGGUAUUAGCAGGGUGCUUUCAGCAUACAUGUAUGCAACAAUACUUUCAUCUGUGAAUACCCACUUUCUAAGCCCACCAUGAACUACGAAGGUCAAUUAAUAUGUAAGGACACCAAUGAACAGACACUUUCCAAUUAUCCUACAUCAUAUACAUGGGUGGUCAAACUCACUGGAUGGUUUAUCAACACUCCCAUGCUCACGAACAGCCUUGCGCCAGGAAUUUUGCCCUGAAGUAACAUUGCAGUCUAUUGUCUCCUUUCUUUUUACAACCCUGGCAACCAUGCAGGAUAGAAGCUGAUCACUUGUACUUGACAGCAAAUAAUAAUGUCUUGGACAAGUCAAAGAAUUUCCUCCGCUCUUACAGAGAAAUGACAGUUGAUAAAAGAAUGGUGGACACAAAGUAAAAGUGCUCUUCAACAUUUUGUUGAAGAUUUCAGUCUGAUUUGGAAUUCAUCUUGCAAUAUUUCUGUAUUUGUAUAUUUGGAUAUAAGCGUCAAAUUUUCAACUUAUUGACUAAACAGUUUUGCAUUAAAUAUUGCCAAUGCUAUCUAUUAUUAUUAUUUCCCUCCAAGAUAACAUGUCAAGUCUUUAUUGUACCCCUUAAGCUCUGUUAUACCAGAAAAAUCUUGUAAUGAAAUCAUUUAGUUUUUUUUUCUUGUUAAAUUAAAUCCAUGAAAAUAAAGAUUAUUUUUAAUGUCAUCAAGAGAAUGGAUUUCUUGUUUAACAAAAAGAUAGUAAACAUGUUUUGCUAGGGCUUUGUAAGAAGCAGACCAGAAUUCUUUGCUUGCAGACUUUUGUCAUUCGCCAUUUUUAUUACGUCAACUAUUAGAUGAUUUAUCCAUGUUUGAAGCAUUUCAAAAUUGAUAUUUACUUACAGUUUAAAGCAGAAUUCUGUACUGAUAUGACCUUGACCCCCUGAAGAACAAGAGUGUCAAGGUCAAUUUUUAAUACAAAAAUGUUCUUUCAUCUUUAUGGCCCAUAUCUUACAAACAAUAUCAUGAAAUAUACAAAAAGUGUCUAGAAUUUGUCCAGAAUGUGAAAUAACAAACAUGUAUAUAGCAAAAAACUUUAAAAUGAUGUUGCUUAGCAACCACUUAAAGGUCAUUAAACAGAUAUUUGAACUAAAAUGAUGCAUGGAUAUUGCAGUUCUGAUCCCUUCUUGAGAGUAUAUUCAGAAUUUUCCAUUUCAGCAUCCAUUGUGUAAAAUUAUGGCAAGAAUAUUGAAAAGUGUUGGAAAAAAUUGAUGAAACUUUUGCACUUAUUUGACCUUUGACCUCCUAAAAAUAGUUCUAAUGAGGUCAAGCUUUAAGACAAUUUAUCUGUUGUAUGUCCCUUAUAAUUUUAUGACCUCACAUCUAACUUUUAUAUGUGCUGGGAUGCAUAAAUAUGUCUAGGAUGAGUAAAAAAUGAAAAUUUCUGCCCGAAAAUUAAAGAAUUCUGCGUUGCUUAGCAACCCCUUUUAAGUAGUUAUAUGCAGAAUUGAAAAAAAAGUUUAUGUGUUUCAUGUAGUACAGUAUAAUGCUCUUUUGUGGGUAUAUCCCAAAUUUCCUAUUUCAAUGUACAUCAUGCUUAAUAUUUAGCUUAAAGAUGAAAAAGUAUCAAAAAAUUCCAUAAAAUUUUGCACUUAAUUGACCUUUGACCUCAAUUUUUACUAAUAAGGUCAGUGGUUGAGUAUCUAAAUAGUCAUAAAAUAUCAUAUGUAAGAAAUUUCCUACAAAAUGGUAUGCAUUAUGCCUAGCUUUCCCCUUGGAUAAAAAAGUUAGAAAUAAUUUAAUAAUGCCAUAUCAAAAGGCCUCCAAAAUCAGGUGAAAUGCGCCGG